GAUGAACGCUAGCGGCAGGCUUAACACAUGCAAGUCGAGGGGCAGCGCGAUGUAGCAAUACAUUGGCGGCGACCGGCGCACGGGUGCGUAACACGUAUGGAACUUACCCUUUACUGGGAGAUAGCCCGGAGAAAUCCGGAUUAAUAUCCCAUAAUAAACGAAGUGGCAUCACUUUGUUUGAAAGCUCCGGCGGUAAAGGAUGGCCAUGCGCACGAUUAGCUAGUAGGUGAGGUAACGGCUCACCUAGGCUACGAUCGUUAGGGGCCUGAGAGGGUUAUCCCCCACACUGGUACUGAGACACGGACCAGACUCCUACGGGAGGCAGCAGUGAGGAAUAUUGCGCAAUGGAGGCAACUCUGACGCAGCCAUGCCGCGUGCAGGAAGAAGGCGCUACGCGUUGUAAAACUGCUUUUUAACCGGGAAGAAACCCUCCGACGUGUCGGAGGUUGACGGUACCGGAGGAAUAAGCACCGGCUAACUUCGUGCCAGCAGCCGCGGUAA
This 501-nucleotide ribosomal RNA is filed under the name uncultured bacterium. RNAcentral's name for it is "bacterial SSU rRNA". It matches the Rfam family "Bacterial small subunit ribosomal RNA", at positions 28 to 523 of the family's 1533-position model. The record is from RNAcentral.